This 103-nucleotide microRNA precursor is filed under the name Marmota monax (woodchuck). Lineage: Eukaryota; Metazoa; Chordata; Mammalia; Rodentia; Sciuridae. The record is from RNAcentral.
AAUGGGAUAGCUGGGUCAAGUGAUGGUUCCAUUCCCAGAUUUCCAAGGAAUCUUCAUACUACUUUCCAGAGUGGUUGCACCAAUUUGCAGUCCCACCAGCAAU